UGUGUGUGUGUGUGUGUGCGUGUGUGUGUGUGUGUGUGUGUGCGUGUGCGUGUGUGGUCCAACAGGGGGAACCGGGGGUCAAUAACAGAAUUAGAGGACCCAAAGGAGAGCGCGGAAACCCAGGUUUGCCGGGUUCCCCAGGACGGGACGGGGAGCCGGGUACUAAAGGAGGCUCUGGAAACCCGGGUCCAGAUGGAAGAAGAGGCUCCGGGGGAGAGAAGGUAAGAGAG
Long non-coding RNA from Etheostoma cragini (Arkansas darter), 230 nucleotides. RefSeq lists it as uncharacterized. Lineage: Eukaryota; Metazoa; Chordata; Actinopteri; Perciformes; Percidae. The record is from RefSeq and is a predicted model, not a curated record. The transcript has 3 exons.